This 31-nucleotide non-coding RNA is filed under the name Rattus norvegicus (Norway rat). Lineage: Eukaryota; Metazoa; Chordata; Mammalia; Rodentia; Muridae. The record is from RNAcentral.
UACCUUUCAUCUCAGCACUUGGGGAGGAAGU